GACAGUUAUGUAUUUAAAUAACCAUCAUAAUCCCCAGGAAGUAGACAGCACCUCUGCCUUGGGCAGCGGUUUGCGGGCACACAAGUCUCGAACUGAAAUAAGCAGGCAAGACAUAAUUAGACAGCGCUUCUCAGCCUACAGUGGUGCCUUACGAGUCUGAGCGACCAGGUCUGCGCAUGGAGAGCCCGGCCUUCUUAGGCGGCGACAGGUGUGUCCUCCGGACGGGCUCCUGGCCGUCUCCACCAGCUUUCUCGGGCUGAACGCGGCUGGGCUCCCCCAAGGCCUCCCCUUGCUGACGGCUCCACGCCUGCUGGACGAGAAGCGGCCUCCCCGGGGCGUCGCAAGCCCCUGGGACAAGAAGAGGAGCCGACAUUGAGGGAGACCUGAGCAGUGGACGCAGGCAGCGUCAGCCUGGGCGUCCCCGGAGUCGCGGCGAGACCCUGGCUCCCCACCACCGCCCGGCUCUCAGCUUUGGCAUCGCGUCUCCAGAGAGGGCGGUGGAUGACGAGGAACUGCAGCAGUGUACGACCCCCGGGCUCCAGACGACCCUGGGGAGAGCGCGCAGAGUUCCUGGCUAGCGGCCCCCUCGCAGCCGGGCACCCCUUCUCGGCUGCGCGCAGCCACUUAGGGGCACAAGAUAAGCCCCUGGGGAGGGAGCGGGCUGCAGGCGCGGUGGGGAAGAACGGCCCGGACGCAGCCGGGCACAGGGAAGGCCGGGCCUGCAGACUGGAGAGACGUGGGCUGCGGUGAAACCGUUAGGGCUGCUUUGCCGCGCACAGACGCGGAGGCCUUUACAAGGCCGGCAGGCCUCGCCCAGGGCCUGGGCCGCCGCAGGUGCCUUUGGGUCACACCCGGGGCGAAUCCCACCCCCUCCUGGGGCCGCUUCUGUUUACCAAACCCCUCAGGCUAUUGCGUUAGUUGUGCGGGGGAAGGAUAGAGGCAGGGUCCUCUGGUGGAGGGGAGGGAACUGGGGACCCGGGGCUGCUGGGGACGCAGGCGACAGAAUGAAAGGCGAAGAGGCGGCAGCUCGAAUCUGUCUGGGGGUGAUUUUAACCGGCGCAGAGGUGCAGCAUAUGCUUUCCAGGUUGGACUGCGGAAUACAAAGAACGACUCUGAGCCCGGGGAGCCUCCUGACACCGAAACCAAACGAUCCCGACCUAGGGGGGCUGAGUGGCAGGAGACUGGAUUUUUUGUUGAGUUGCAAUUAAAGGGAGAUAAUUAAGCCCGGAGCCGCGCAGCUUAUUAAUAUUUAUAGCCCGGAGCGACAGGGCCUGCGCUCGCUGGAAGCGGAUUUGCAGGCCCAGGCGCGGAGCCGGUGUCUCCUGAGCCAGGGGCUUCGCAGACUCGGGAGGAGAAGGCUCGAUGGGGAAAUUGGGGAGCGUCCGCCUUCUGCGUUUCUCCUAAUUACGCCAGCGGUCAAAGUCCGGCCGGGCCGGAACGUCCCGAAGGCCGGGAACCGCGCGAUGCCCGAAUGCGGGGCGACCCGGCCGCAGUAUCCAGCAUUUCGGAAGCCCAGGUUUCACUGGGGCGCCGCUACGGUUCCUAUGGCAACGCGGCUCCUCGACGCAGCCCAGGAGUCGCGGUCGCGGGAGGCUGCGCCGCGCACCGAGCUCUUCCCUGUGGCCGCCGCAGCCGCCAGCCUCUUCCUGCUCAUGCUUUUCCUCAUCUUCAUCUCGGUCUGAGUGGGCUCUGGACCUCUCCACCAGCCUCUGCCCCAGAACUGUUAACUGCGGGGGGGAAAAAAGGAAUUUGUCGUCGCAACGCGCGUUCCGAUGGAGCCGCACGCCACAAAGGAAGACUCAUGCUGCACCCCGCGGGGCAGAUGCGGCGACACUGGACAUCGCUGCACAGCUGGGUCUGCCCGUUUCCAGAGCUGCUUAGCGCCGACGCCCAUAAAUGAGGAGGACUCCCUGUGUAUUAAAAGGGGGAUCCGCAGGGUUUAAUUUGAUAAGGAUUAUAGCCUUCAUAAAGGCAUUUUUAACAAAAAGAUGUAGGUGGCAUGGUAAUCGAGUAUUAUUUACGCAUCUCUCCGCACACGCACUCAUACCUGAAAACGUUUUGGCAGGCACAAAAUGAUUUUUUUGUGUAUAAAGAAUGUGUGUAACUCGUGGAUGGUGGGGUUCAGCAGGACAGAUUAGUGACAUUAGAUAAUUUACAACGAGGAUUAUGUUUGUGCUGAAAAUAAAAGCUAUAUUGUUUAUUUAGUUCAUUGCCAUUUGCAUGUGUCCAAGCCUUUUAUUAACAUUAACCAGCUAGAAAAUAAUGGCAUAAUGACCACCUAACCUGUUUUAUCAUGGGAAAGUAAAUGUGAUGAAAAAGUAUUCAGCACCAAUACCCAAUAGAUAAAAACAUUUGCCCUUUGUGGCUAAUUUACACAUUGUUUGAAAUAGAUAAUGUAUACUGUUCUUUUAAUGUUCACUUUCUUGACCUUCCU
This 2434-nucleotide long non-coding RNA is filed under the name Homo sapiens (human). RNAcentral describes it as "HSALNT0356829". Lineage: Eukaryota; Metazoa; Chordata; Mammalia; Primates; Hominidae. The record is from RNAcentral.